UAAUAAGAAGCAAAACCUUGCAUUUAGUUUCGACCUAAACAUUGAUACAAUUAUCCUUAUUUU
This 63-nucleotide transfer RNA is filed under the name Trigonopterus ancora. Its description in RNAcentral is "tRNA-Arg". Lineage: Eukaryota; Metazoa; Arthropoda; Insecta; Coleoptera; Curculionidae. The record is from RNAcentral.